This 261-nucleotide unclassified non-coding RNA is filed under the name Ascomycota sp. RNAcentral describes it as "partial contains small subunit ribosomal RNA, internal transcribed spacer 1, and 5.8S ribosomal RNA". The stretch from base 1 to 47 matches the Rfam family "Eukaryotic small subunit ribosomal RNA", at positions 1785 to 1831 of the family's 1831-position model. The record is from RNAcentral. Lineage: Eukaryota; Fungi; Ascomycota.
AAAGUCGUAACAAGGUUUCCGUAGGUGAACCUGCGGAAGGAUCAUUAACGAGUUAGGGUCCUUCUCGAGCCCGACCUCCCAACCCUUUGCUUACUUGACCUUUUGUUGCUUCGGCGGGCCCGUCUUAACCGACCGCCGGGGGUCUGACCCCUGGCCCGUGCCCGUCGAUGGCCCAAGUUAAAACUCUGAUUGAAUCGUGUUAUUUGUCUGAGUACUUAUUUAAUUAAAACAAAACUUUCAACAACGGAUCUCUUGGUUCUG